UAAUCCUUCAGAAAGAAAGAAGGAAAGAGCCUCCAUGGUUAUUUGGAAAACAAUGAUCCUGUUUCAGACAGCCCUAAACAGGAAAUUCAGUAGAAUUAAAAUAAGAUAGCAUAUUACAGACUUAAGUCUAUAGAUGAGUGGAAGAGUGGGUGUGAAAAUGGAUGGCAUUUCUGCAAUGUGAACUCUGAAUUCCAUACAUGGAAGCAAAUUAGAAAUCUUUUGACUGUGAUGAGAAAAUUCUUCUCCAUGGACCAUAUUACGGUGAAGCUUCAGUGCUGAGACAGCCAGCCUCUAUCACAGCCUCUCUCAAGACUGUUGUGAGCACUUGGGCAUCUAUAAUUCAAGUUAAAUACUGAGUGGCCAUAAUCACUGAAUGAGACUCUUACACUCUCUAUGUUGAAAGAGGAAAAUUAUACCAUACAGGUUGGAGCCAACUUCCGUGUGCCAGAACUUGGGGGUCAAGGGGAACCAGUGCCAACAUUAUACUUAUCCUGCUUGCUGUGUUAUGAGUAAGAAAGUCCUUUGUCUCUGACCCAGGGAUCUUGCAUCUUCUGCCAGCAUCUAUGAAAAAGUAACAGCCUACCUUGUUAACUGAGCAGCCAGAAGGACCUGGAAGGUAGAGUUCUCCUCCCUUACAGUGCAAGGUAAAAAAGUUAAAAAGGC
RNAcentral lists this long non-coding RNA (663 nucleotides) under Equus caballus (horse). Its description in RNAcentral is "lncRNA (ENSECAG00000049407.1)". The record is from RNAcentral. Lineage: Eukaryota; Metazoa; Chordata; Mammalia; Perissodactyla; Equidae.